This 315-nucleotide long non-coding RNA is filed under the name Bos taurus (domestic cattle). RNAcentral's name for it is "long non-coding RNA NONBTAT024026". The record is from RNAcentral. Lineage: Eukaryota; Metazoa; Chordata; Mammalia; Artiodactyla; Bovidae.
CCAAGCUUUGUAAAAAGCUACAGGACCUCUACAGCUUUAAGAUGUUCUGGGGAUGAUAUUUCUAAAGUACCACGUAGGAAAGAUUGCAUUAAAAUAAAAUAUUCACACACUGUGAAGCAGCAAGGGGUACCUUUUCAGUCUCAUUUCUCUAUCUGUAGUAGUCUCUUUAUCCUCUGUCUGUAAAAAUUCAAUCCACCUCUAAAAGCCUAGGGCAAAUGUCACCACCUUCAUAAAUUUUUUCUUUAUGUUCUAAAUUAAAAGUGAUGUCACCCUCCUAGAAUUCAAUAACUUGGCAGUUUUGGUUUUUUUUCCCCC